This 897-nucleotide long non-coding RNA is filed under the name Jatropha curcas. Its description in RNAcentral is "long non-coding RNA (JCUR_LNC000197)". The record is from RNAcentral. Lineage: Eukaryota; Viridiplantae; Streptophyta; Magnoliopsida; Malpighiales; Euphorbiaceae.
UACCACCUUGCAAGGCAUCAUAAUAUUAGAACAUCUCCGAUGCAACUAUGAAUUAUUCUAAUUUAUUUUCCACAUUAGACCAAUUGAAAGUUAAAAAUAAAAACAUUCCCUAAUGCUCUUGUGUAUUUAGUCUGUAAGUUUAAUAUGUCAAAAAUAAAAAUACAUACUGUCCACCACGCUUUUUAUUUUCAGAGAGUUUGUUAAAUAAUGUGACUCAACCAUUAAUUCUUUUUUUUUCCUAUUUAUUCAUUUUUUUCUCAUUUUUUUUAUCAUCAGACAGUUCUAAUAUAAUGGAAGCAUUAGAGAGCCAUUUUUAAAAUCUGACAUCUAUAAAUACACAUUCUACCGUAUCAUCAUCCACAACUUCUAUUUAUUAAAAUACAUCAACUACAAUUCAUGAUUGCAUUGGAGUUUGCAUUGGAGUUGUUGUUAGCAUCUUGAGCUUUAUUCUGCUUAAAUUUCUAUUUAGUAAUUGUUUGCAAUAAAUGUGGACUAGUGUCACGACCCAUUUCCGUGGGCCGGACCGGCACUAGGGCCCAGGUAAGCUUAAGGCCCCCGAGGCCCGUAGUAAGCCUAAAUCUCAAUUAACACAUAGUAUCUAACCAGGGCCUAUUCACAAUAAAUUAUAAUCACAUUAUGGGCUUACUGGUUCACCUGCAGCUAAUUACAUAAUAUUUAAUUUAUAGUGUAGUGCUAACAAUAAAUCCAAUAGUAAUACACAACCCUAUAACUGCGGAGUUCAAUAAUAAUCUGAUAAUAGAGUAACUUAUACAUCCAAAAUUAGACAACAGAAAUAUAAAGUUUACAUUUAUAACUCUGCGGAGAAGAUUGCAGAGCUUCAGUCGAAUCAGCUGCUUCCUAGUACCUGGGAGGUUUGGAGAGAAGGGGGUGAGUUUU